This is a long non-coding RNA of Nicotiana tabacum (common tobacco), 535 nucleotides long. RefSeq lists it as uncharacterized. Lineage: Eukaryota; Viridiplantae; Streptophyta; Magnoliopsida; Solanales; Solanaceae. The record is from RefSeq and is a predicted model, not a curated record.
AAGGUUAAAAGCUAUGACGAAAGAGUGGUUUGAAGGCAAAGGAUUGUCUUGAUAUUGGCUGUAAUAGUGGAGUGAUCACAAUUGCCAUUGCACAAAAGUUUAGCUGCCGAAGCAUCCUUGGAAUUGACAUUGAUGGUGCAAGAGUUAAUGAUGCCUAUUGAACUCUCAGGAGAAAAGUGAAGAGUAUUAGAACAGUGCCUGCAGGGGGUGACAAAUUAGAAGAAUCAAAUACUGUAAAUUGUUUAAAAGACCCUGCAGUAGAGUCACUUAAUAAAAGGGCAAAGAAUGAUUGUACAACACCUCAUCAUUUGCAAGAGGGAGAUUUUUUUGACAGUCUCCUCAUCUGCAUCCAAAAACAAUACAUCUUAUGAUACAAUUAUUUGGUAAGUUUUCUUUUUCUUUAACGUCAUCUUCCCUGUAUGGUUCAAGAGAUGUGAAAUCUUUUAGUCAAUUGCAAUCCUUCUGUGAAAAGGUGCCCAAGAUGUUAUAUUGUUGGAACUUGUGUUUCCUUUUCAAAAUCACCCAAAAUUUUAUU